This 650-nucleotide ribosomal RNA is filed under the name Pseudomonadota bacterium. Its description in RNAcentral is "bacterial SSU rRNA". It matches the Rfam family "Bacterial small subunit ribosomal RNA", at positions 28 to 725 of the family's 1533-position model. Lineage: Bacteria; Pseudomonadati; Pseudomonadota. The record is from RNAcentral.
AACGAACGCUGGCGGCAGGCCUAACACAUGCAAGUCGAGCGCCCCGCAAGGGGAGCGGCGGACGGGUGAGUAACACGUGGGAAUUUUCCUCAAGGUACGGAACAACUCAGGGAAACUUGGGCUAAUACCGUAUGAUGCAGAGAUGCCAAAGAUUUAUCGCCUUGGGAUAAGCCCGCGUCAGAUUAGGUAGUUGGUGGGGUAAUGGCCUACCAAGCCUGUGAUCUGUAGCUGGUCUGAGAGGACGAUCAGCCACAUUGGGACUGAGACACGGCCCAAACUCCUACGGGAGGCAGCAGUGGGGAAUCUUGCGCAAUGGACGAAAGUCUGACGCAGCCAUGCCGCGUGAAUGAUGAAGGUCUUAGGAUUGUAAAGUUCUUUAGCCUGUGACGAUGAUGACGGUAACAGGAGAAUAAGCCCCGGCUAACUUCGUGCCAGCAGCCGCGGUAAUACGAAGGGGGCUAGCGUUGUUCGGAAUUACUGGGCGUAAAGCGCGCGUAGGCGGUUAUGCAAGCCAGAGGUGAAAUGCCUGAGCUCAACUUAGGAAUUGCCUUUGGAACUGCAUGGCUUUGAGGACGAGAGAGGUGAGUGGAAUUCCCAGUGUAGAGGUGAAAUUCGUAGAUAUUGGGAAGAACACCGGUGGCGAAGGCGGC